Aethalodelphis obliquidens (Pacific white-sided dolphin) is the source of this 729-nucleotide long non-coding RNA. RefSeq lists it as uncharacterized. The transcript is spliced from 3 exons. The record is from RefSeq and is a predicted model, not a curated record. Lineage: Eukaryota; Metazoa; Chordata; Mammalia; Artiodactyla; Delphinidae.
CAACGAAGAUCCAAUGCAGCCAAAAAUAAAUAAAUUAAUUUUAAAAAAUUUAAAAAGAAAUGUAUAUUUAAAGGAACAAUGAAAAGUUUCCCCCAUUCUUUCAGUCUCAGACGGUGAAAUUUUUAUUAGGCAACAGUGACAGUGUAAUGACUUGAUUUCUUCUCUUCCAUGAGAAUGAAGUUUCAUAUGAGUAUUAUGCAGUCACCAUAGCUUGGGACAUUAUCGUAUGACUGCUGCAUGAUGCAGGGAUGGGUAAUUUCAUGAGCUGUCUCGCCUAGGUUUGUUCAUUUUCCUAGUCAUUGAAAUGAGAAGACUUGAUGUGAUUCCUGUUGAGCUACUUCCAGAGGCAACCGUCCUUGUAAUGAAUUCUCUCCAUCAGAAAAUUAGAUGGGAUUUUGACUCCUUUCACAGAUGACACCAUUGAUUCUACCUAAAUUGGAUGGACUCAGUGCCUACCUCCCAUCCUCAGAACGCAGCAGGACUCAGAAUCUAGUGCUGGGACAUGGCAAACCAUGUCAGAUAAAGAAAUUGAGACCCAGAAAACUUGGGAAAUUUGCUCAAAUUCACACAUAAAUAAAGAAUGGAGUUGUGAAUGGAAGCCGAGCUGUUGGAAUCUAAGAAUUCAGGAUACUGUUUGAGAAGAUAAGAAAGUGUUUCAGGCCUUCCCUGGUGGCGCAGUGGUUGAGAAUCUGCCUGCUAAUGCAGGGGACACGGGUUCGAACCCUGGUC